GUCCGAGCGGGGCUGAGCCCGGGGGUCACGGCUCCGAGCACCUCGGCCGCGCCCCACUUGUCCC
RNAcentral lists this non-coding RNA (64 nucleotides) under Sus scrofa (pig). The record is from RNAcentral. Lineage: Eukaryota; Metazoa; Chordata; Mammalia; Artiodactyla; Suidae.